CAGAUUUCCAGAUGCUUGAAUUGAUGUUCCUGAAAUGUAGCUGCUCCUGCGGGAAAUGAUUGUUCAGUCCCAAGGAGUAAGACUUAGGGAGUGGAGAGUCUAAACGCCAGAGUCAUUGCCACGGGAUAGCGCUGGGCAGGGCUGGAGCAAGCGCAGGGGUAAAAAUGAGCCACUGCUUGGACAUCUUGUAGGCUGCCUCCUGCCUCUCCUUCCCAUAGUCCACACCCCUGUCGCCCAGAUACUGUAGCUUUGCACCAGCCAGGACAGUGCUGACACAUAUCUAUUUAAAUUUCAAUUUCAUAGGGAAUUUCCAUGUCUGUGUGGGUUCCCCAUACGUACCUGCAUAUGCUAUUAAAUUUGAUUUUCUCCAAAUAAAUAAGUAAAUACUCCAUAGAAAACCCAGUUCCCCGGUGCACUAGCCACAUUUUAAGUGCUCGACAGCUACAUGCGGUCAGCACAGUUACUGAGCACUGCCUUCGCUGCGGAGAAUCCUACUGGAGAGCACUACUGGGGAGGACUAUUCCCUCUCUCCACGUCGUUUCUCCUCCAUCCCUUUCCCUGCGGGCCAAGCUUGUUAUUCAAAAUAAAUCAAAUGUCACCUUUGACCAAGACUCUUUGACCAAACUUUGGUUGGGCUCCUCUGAGCCCUCUUGACUAGGCUUCAACCUUGGGCUUCUAAGUCUGCCUUUGCCAAGUCCACAGCUGGGGUGCAGGGGUGCCAGGGCACCUGGCUCUGGGUGAGGGGGUGAGGGGGUGGGGGUGGGGGCAAACAGACCAGGUUCAGCCACUCACCGCUGACAAAAUGCAAAGACAGGUGGUGGAACAAGGAAGGAAUUUAUUUCAGGGAAGGGCGACACCAGGAAGACAGUGGACCCUCUGAAAUACAACCUCCAAAGUGUCGAAAAUACUUCUGGGUUUUGUAAGGAAAAUGUGGGACAGAGGUCAGAGAGUACCGCAGGUGGAAAGCUAAGGUCAGGUCAUUGUUGUCUUGAGGUCACUUGGGGUCUUGCUGGCUCAGGGCAGUCGUUGUUGCUUGAGGGGGUAGUUUUGGUUCCCAUCACGAUGAUUUGCCUGCGGGUUCUUUUGCCUGAAUUAAGAGAUAAGCAGGAAAAAGAAAACUUUCAUUAGAAAGUACAGACUGAGGUCAAAAUGGAGGUAGUUGAGGUCCUCUUUCAAGUCCGGUUUCAACAAAAAUCUUAAAUCAGCUUAGACAGAAUCCUUACUCUUCCUAUCUGAUCAAUCCCUAGCCUGCCUUCAGCAAGAAUCCUAUUAAAUCAGU
Molecule: long non-coding RNA, 1279 nt
Organism: Panthera uncia (snow leopard)
Lineage: Eukaryota; Metazoa; Chordata; Mammalia; Carnivora; Felidae
Exons: 3
Source: RefSeq, a predicted model, not a curated record